Molecule: ribosomal RNA, 497 nt
Filed under: uncultured bacterium
Lineage: Bacteria
Description: partial 16S ribosomal RNA
Rfam family: Bacterial small subunit ribosomal RNA
Source: RNAcentral
GAUGAACGCUGGCGGCGUGCCUAAUACAUGCAAGUCGAGCGAACGGACGAGAAGCUUGCUUCUCUGAUGUUAGCGGCGGACGGGUGAGUAACACGUGGAUAACCUACCUAUAAGACUGGGAUAACUUCGGGAAACCGGAGCUAAUACCGGAUAAUAUUUUGAACCGCAUGGUUCAAAAGUGAAAGACGGUCUUGCUGUCACUUAUAGAUGGAUCCGCGCUGCAUUAGCUAGUUGGUAAGGUAACGGCUUACCAAGGCAACGAUGCAUAGCCGACCUGAGAGAGUGAUCGGCCACACUGGAACUGAGACACGGUCCAGACUCCUACGGGAGGCAGCAGUAGGGAAUCUUCCGCAAUGGGCGAAAGCCUGACGGAGCAACGCCGCGUGAGUGAUGAAGGUCUUCGGAUCGUAAAACUCUGUUAUUAGGGAAGAACGUAUGUGUAAGUAACUGUGCACAGCUUGACGGUACCUAAUCAGAAAGCCACGGCUAACUACGUG